GACGAACGCUGGCGGCGUGCUUAACACAUGCAAGUCGAGCGGUAAGGCCCUUUCGGGGGUACACGAGCGGCGAACGGGUGAGUAACACGUGGGUGACCUGCCCUCAGCUCUGGGAUAAGCCUGGGAAACCGGGUCUAAUACUGGAUAUGACUCCAUGACGCAUGUUGUGGGGUGGAAAGCCUUGUGCGGCUGAGGAUGGGCCCGCGGCCUAUCAGCUUGUUGGUGGGGUGANGGCCUACCAAGGCGACGACGGGUAGCCGGCCUGAGAGGGCGACCGGCCACACUGGGACUGAGACACGGCCCAGACUCCUACGGGAGGCAGCAGGUGGGGAAUCUUGCGCAAGUGGGCGAAAGCCUGGCGCAGCGACGCCGCGUGAGGGAUGACGGCCU
Molecule: ribosomal RNA, 390 nt
Filed under: uncultured bacterium
Lineage: Bacteria
Description: bacterial SSU rRNA
Rfam family: Bacterial small subunit ribosomal RNA
Source: RNAcentral